This 234-nucleotide small nuclear RNA is filed under the name Oryzias javanicus (javanese ricefish). Its description in RNAcentral is "U2 spliceosomal RNA (ENSOJAG00000004475.1)". It matches the Rfam family "U2 spliceosomal RNA". Rfam says of the family: U2 is a small nuclear RNA (snRNA) component of the spliceosome (involved in pre-mRNA splicing). Complementary binding between U2 snRNA (in an area lying towards the 5' end but 3' to hairpin I) and the branchpoint sequence (BPS) of the intron results the bulging out of an unpaired adenosine, on the BPS, which initiates a nucleophilic attack at the intronic 5' splice site, thus starting the first of two transesterification reactions that mediate splicing. Lineage: Eukaryota; Metazoa; Chordata; Actinopteri; Beloniformes; Adrianichthyidae. The record is from Rfam by way of RNAcentral.
AUCGGUUCUCGGCUUUUUGGCUAAGAUCAAGUGUAGUAUCUGUUCUUAUCAAACCUACACAUCUUGGCUCCUAGGUCCAAGUUGCGGUCAUGUUCCAAAGGGUGGUGGAUGCUGUUAUUUAAUGGCAGUUAUCUGAAUCUCAACUAGGAGAAAAUUAUUCUGCAUUUGUUAUUUUUAAGGUGGAGAAACACCUAGACUAGUGUCUUGCAUAAUUCUCCUCCUGGUGGUUGUUAU